This 497-nucleotide ribosomal RNA is filed under the name uncultured bacterium. RNAcentral's name for it is "partial 16S ribosomal RNA". It matches the Rfam family "Bacterial small subunit ribosomal RNA", at positions 28 to 507 of the family's 1533-position model. The record is from RNAcentral.
GAUGAACGCUGGCGGCGUGCCUAAUACAUGCAAGUCGAGCGAACAGACGAGGAGCUUGCUCCUCUGACGUUAGCGGCGGACGGGUGAGUAACACGUGGAUAACCUACCUAUAAGACUGGGAUAACUUCGGGAAACCGGAGCUAAUACCGGAUAAUAUAUUGAACCGCAUGGUUCAAUAGUGAAAGACGGUUUUGCUGUCACUUAUAGCUGGAUCCGCGCCGCAUUAGCUAGUUGGUAAGGUAACGGCUUACCAAGGCGACGAUGCGUAGCCGACCUGAGAGGGUGAUCAGCCACACUGGAACUGAGACACGGUCCAGACUCCUACGGGAGGCAGCAGUAGGGAAUCUUCCGCAAUGGGCGAAAGCCUGACGGAGCAACGCCGCGUGAGUGAUGAAGGUCUUCGGAUCGUAAAACUCUGUUAUUAGGGAAGAACAAAUGUGUAAGUAACUAUGCACGUCUUGACGGUACCUAAUCAGAAAGCCACGGCUAACUACGUG